ACGGGCGUAGCUCAACUGGUAGAGUGGCGGUCUCCAAAACCGUAGGUUGCGGGUUCGAUUCCUGCCGCCCGUGCAA
This 76-nucleotide transfer RNA is filed under the name Kapaibacterium sp. (SeqCode). Its description in RNAcentral is "Candidatus Kapabacteria bacterium (microbial mat metagenome) tRNA-Trp". It matches the Rfam family "tRNA". From Rfam's summary of the family: Transfer RNA (tRNA) molecules are approximately 80 nucleotides in length. Their secondary structure includes four short double-helical elements and three loops (D, anti-codon, and T loops). The record is from RNAcentral. Lineage: Bacteria; Pseudomonadati; Bacteroidota; Eximiradiia; Eximiradiales; Kapaibacteriaceae (SeqCode).